RNAcentral lists this ribosomal RNA (460 nucleotides) under uncultured bacterium. RNAcentral's name for it is "partial 16S ribosomal RNA". It matches the Rfam family "Bacterial small subunit ribosomal RNA", at positions 338 to 795 of the family's 1533-position model. The record is from RNAcentral.
CCUACGGGGUGCAGCAGUGAGGAAUAUUGGUCAAUGGGCGCGAGCCUGAACCAGCCAAGUCGCGUGAGGGAUGAAGGUUCUAUGUAUCGUAAACCUCUUUUAUAAGGGAGUAAAGUGUGGGACGUGUCCUAUUUUGUAUGUACCUUAUGAAUAAGGAUCGGCUAACUCCGUGCCAGCAGCCGCGGUAAUACGGAGGAUCCGAGCGUUAUCCGGAUUUCUUGGGUUUAAAGGGUGCGUAGGCGGCCUUUGAAGUCGGCGGUGAAAGUCUGUGGCUCAACCAUAGAAUUGCCGGUGAAACUGGGGGGCUUGAGUAUGUUUGAGGCAGGCGGAAUGCGUGGUGUAGCGGUGAAAUGCUUAGAUAUCACGCAGAACACCGAUUGCGAAGGCAGCCUGCCAAGCCAUGACUGACGCUGAUGCACGAAAGCGUGGGGAUCAAACAGGAUUAGAUACCCGAGUAGUC